This is a non-coding RNA of Ciona intestinalis (vase tunicate), 160 nucleotides long. The record is from RefSeq and is a predicted model, not a curated record. NCBI's taxonomy places the organism in Eukaryota, Metazoa, Chordata, Ascidiacea, Phlebobranchia, Cionidae.
UGAUUUGAGAGGUGACAUGGCAACCAUGAGUUUAAAACUUCUCAUUGAAGGAGGUGAAUUCCCUUUCAAAGUUAGUUGCAAAAAAUCUGACCUUCAAUAUCUGUGUAGCCAUAUUCAGAAGCAAUGUCAGCUGAUAAAUAAACUUGACCAGUUCUUUUAA